Molecule: ribosomal RNA, 327 nt
Filed under: uncultured eukaryote
Lineage: Eukaryota
Description: partial 18S ribosomal RNA
Rfam family: Eukaryotic small subunit ribosomal RNA
Source: RNAcentral
CCCUUAGAUGUUCUGGGCCGCACGCGCGCUACACUGAUGCAUUCAACGAGUUUCUUCCUGGUCCGAGAGGAAUGGGUAACCUUUUGAAAGUGCAUCGUGAUAGGGAUAGACUAUUGCAAUUAUUGGUCUUCAACGAGGAAUUCCUAGUAGACGUAGUUCAUCAGACUGCAUCGAUUACGUCCCUGCCCUUUGUACACACCGCCCGUCGCUCCUACCGAUUGAAUGGUCCGGUGAAAUCUUCGGAUUGCUGACCAAGAUCCAGCAAUGGAGCUUGGUUGCGAGAAGUUGAUUAAACCUUAUUAUUUAGAGGAAGGAGAAGUCGUAACA